AUACGGGGGGUGCAAGCGUUAUUCGGAUUUAUUGGGCGUAAAGAGCGCGUAGGCGGCUUGGUAAGUCAGAUGUGAAAGCCCGGGGCUCAACCCCGGAAGUGCAUUUGAAACUAUCAGGCUUGAGUACGGGAGAGGGAAGUGGAAUUCCUGGUGUAGAGGUGAAAUUCGUAGAUAUCAGGAGGAACACCGGUGGCGAAGGCGACUUCCUGGACCAAUACUGACGCUGAGGCGCGAAGGCGUGGGGAGCAAACAGGAUUAGAAACCCGAGUAGUCC
This 274-nucleotide ribosomal RNA is filed under the name uncultured bacterium. Its description in RNAcentral is "partial 16S ribosomal RNA". It matches the Rfam family "Bacterial small subunit ribosomal RNA", at positions 523 to 796 of the family's 1533-position model. The record is from RNAcentral.